Molecule: ribosomal RNA, 190 nt
Filed under: uncultured Xylanimonas sp.
Lineage: Bacteria; Bacillati; Actinomycetota; Actinomycetes; Micrococcales; Promicromonosporaceae
Description: partial 16S ribosomal RNA
Rfam family: Bacterial small subunit ribosomal RNA
Source: RNAcentral
UGGGGAAUAUUGCACAAUGGGCGAAAGCCUGAUGCAGCGACGCCGCGUGGAGGAUGACGGCCUUCGGGUUGUAAACUCCUUUCAGCAGGGAAGAAGCGAAAGUGACGGUACCUGCAGAAGAAGCGCCGGCUAACUACGUGCCAGCAGCCGCGGUAAUACGUAGGGCGCAAGCGUUGUCCGGAAUUAUUGG